Molecule: long non-coding RNA, 505 nt
Filed under: Capra hircus (goat)
Lineage: Eukaryota; Metazoa; Chordata; Mammalia; Artiodactyla; Bovidae
Description: lncRNA (ENSCHIG00000008092.1)
Source: RNAcentral
CUGAAGUCCACACCUUGGCUGAGCAAGGCUCCAUGAAGAGGCCUUGCUUGGACUUGGAACUGCCUUGGAGGACCUUGGAGGCUGGCCUUCAUCAGACAGCAAAAUCAACCCAUGGGUGACACAUGGAAGACUUCCCCAGUCUCCUGCAGAACAGGAUUUCGCCCGUCAUGACCACAGGAGUGGGGACGGGAAGAACAGAGUGAAGGAAGAAAGACCAAGACAGAGAUGGGACAUUAGUUCUCUGACGAGGGAUUGAACUCACUCUCCCGGCAUUGGAAGCAUGGAGUUUUAACCACUGGACUGCCUGGCAAGUCCCCAAGAAAGAGAAACAGAAGCAUAAUACUUGUUUUUUAAAAUAAUGACGCCCCCUCCGAAUAAUAAUAAUGAAACUCAUUUAUAUUUAAGAAUAAAUGUCAUAAGCUAAAUAAUCAUUAUUCAGACACAUCCUAACUAAUAAUGUAUAUCAGCUUUUGUAGUUACGCUGUAUUCAGUGAAUAAUUAAUAA